This is a non-coding RNA of 186 nucleotides. It matches the Rfam family "Antisense RNA which regulates isiA expression". The record is from Rfam.
AAUAAACAAAAAUAACAAUUGGGCUAAGGGUCAAGUUGGUAAUUUUCCUUACAUCCCCCCCCCCCCCCCCAAGGUAUCAGACAUGCCCCCAAAAUAAAGGGCCUUGCAUACUAGAAGACAAGCACCUAUACCUAACAAGAUUAGGUGAAUACCCAAAAUUAUGGUCAUUUUAUUUCUAUCCUUCCA